GGAACGAGUGCCCGGAGCCAGAGCCUCCUGUCCACGGGAAAAUUGAGCCCCAGCAAACCACGUAUUCCUUCAAAGACCAGGUGCUCAUCAGCUGUGACACAGGCUACAAAGUGCUGAAGGAUAAUGUGGAGAUGGAUACUUUCCAGAUCGAGUGUCUGAAGGAUGGGACAUGGAGUAACAGGAUUCCCACCUGUAAAAAAACCGAAAUGGAUGAGGAGAACGAACUCGGGUCAGAGCAAGAGACAGAGUGAAUGACGGGAGCCCACAGAGUGCAGACGUCCAGGAAUGGACCACUCACAAGACCCCUCCCCACCCUGCCAACACUCCAUUUCCAAUUUCUGUGCGGAUUAGUAUGGAUGCUGAACCAGGCAACACAGUCAAGCAGUUGAAACUCCUGCAUAAAGGAGAACAUUCUCCACUGGAGGGCUCACCCAUCAUUCAAUCAGUACUCUGGAAAAUAAUGAAAAGACCAGGGAGAUUUUUUUUUUAGCACCUCCAAGUGGACGGUACUCUUCUCAAAGGACAAAUGACUUUGGUCCUAGAGACCCAAGAUUUCAUACACAACCACAUGGCCCUAGGCUGACCAGGUCAAAGUGGGUCUUGGUUCCUAAUCCACUCCACACUUGAAGUUAAAAUGGGCCAGAAGGCCUGUGACUUGAUGACUUUAAUAUCUUUAUCUGUUGCUACUUUCUAACAACCAUGAGUAGGUGAAACUAACAAUAACUCAUAGAGCAUGGGUUUUUUAGGAAAUCUCGACGUAGCCUCAUCCACAAAAGUUUCUAUGCCACCUGCGCCCAACACGGGGCCAAAAGUGCAUUAUCAGAGGUCCUCUCCUCUGGGCUGGAGCUUACAGAUCCUGCAUUUCUGAAAACUCCUUGAUUAAAGUUUCAAAAGAUAGGUAUCACACUCACAAGCAGCAGUCCUCAGCUUUGGUGUCAUGGGACAUCACUGGGUCGCAUGAUACAGGGCUCCGUAGAAGCAGCAGGAAUCUCUGCUUUAGCCUGAACAAACCCAGAAUAGACAUAUCAGAGAAGCCCUGCAUUACGCUGUGACUGCUCAGUCUUUGGGGUGAUGGAAUGGGCUUUUGAUGCGGGCAGAACCCUGCAAGGGUGGACAGCAGCAGGUGCAUAGAUCGUGGUGCCAGCCUAGGGCAGGGGUGCCCCUGAAAGCAGAGAUGAGGUGGGCAGUAGAGAGGAGCAUUCAGUUCAAGCAAUAUGUUUAAGCCCCCAAAGUGUCACAGAUAUUGCACUCAGUGAGAUAGAGGGAAUCCUAACUGAGCCGGAAGAUUUGAUAUGGGCCCCAAUAAAGGCAAUACCAGGCAACAUAAGAUAAAUGCAUCAGAGAGAUGAACAGAGGCCUCUGUGAGGAGAAAGGAGGAGGCAGCUGUAUCUAAUUAGAAGACUGAGAAAAAACUUUCAAGAAGAAGCAGUGUUUGACCAAGGCCUCAAGGGCGGCUAGAGCAUGGACCCCAGGGGUUCCCAUGUGGGGAAAGUAGGUGAGGGAGCAGCACAGUGAGAGGUCUGGGAUGCUGGAGCUCAGAGGCACCAAGGGCGGGGACAAAGAGGCCCUAGGGUAAGGGGCCGUCCCUGAGGCUGGAGGGCCGGGGGAGCCCAUGGUGCAUCAUUCUCCAGGAAGCCCCGGAUGGUGGCAGAGCACACUCAGGACGGCGGGUCAAGGAAGAUGUGUCUGAAGGAAAAUGUCAGCCAGAGGUGACAGCAGAAACAGAGUGUGGGGUGUUUGAUGAGGGAAUGAUGAGAAGGGGAGGCCAAGGGAAUGGAAAACAGAAGGCCAUUUUGAUUCCAGGAUGUGGAAGUGGCCAGAGGGAGUGUUAGGGAAAGGGUGAAACCCUUCCUAAAGCAAGGAAGCUAGACCAGCUGAGGAAGUGGGCUCUGGGUGUAGCAUCUUUGAUUGUGUCAGGGCUCAAGGCCCCUCAGGAAGGGAAGUCAGAGGGACAUGGCUGUUCACCUGCCACUGUAGACUUGGGAGUACAAGCAUACCACCCCACUCACCAUACCCAAGCUGAAGCAACCCUCUCUCUUGGUAUAGGGCCAGCAAAGUUACUUCUCUGGAGUGAUAGGAAAGCAGGCGGCCCUCUACUCAGGAAAUAUCUCCGCACCUUUGCUGACCAAGUAAAAGGCUCUCAAUAGCCUGACCAGCUAGCCAUGUCCAAGGCCAACCCUGCAAUUCCCCUACCCACCCACCCCCUCACCCCCUGGGAACUAGGUAUUAGGUUGAGAGAACACUUCAGGCAAAAUAAACUGCUAGACCAAAGUUAAGAGAGACAAGAGUAACACCAAGAUCCAGGCACCCGUCAACGGCAUUUCCUAAAAAAGGAAGAAAAAUCUGCUUUGAGAUUCCGCAGGAAAAUACAUUUAAAACUGUGUUAUGGCUUUGAAUAAUAGAUAUUAUUGCCUCUUGUGAUCCAGGGCUGACCCUCACUCACACACAGUGGAAGAGGGUCUCCACUUUGGGGUGAUCAAAACGAAUGGGAAUGAUUUGUCCAAGGGGAUUAGAGGUCAAGACAAAACCUUAACCAGCCCUCUUGGCUUUUGCCUCUCUGCUUUUACUCUCAGCCUUCCCCCUUCUCCUCCGCAACGCAGCGCCUUGAUGUCAUCUCUGUUUUAGAUUACGUUACUCAUUAGUCAUCAAAAUGAUGAAUUUAGAGUUCUAAGCUUAAAAACAAUAAUUUCUGGGUAGCAUCUCAGGGGCAAAUUGCCCUCUCUCUGUUUCCCAAGGAGGGAGGACACUGGAAAUUCUGCUCUUUGGAAUGCUGUCCUCUGAAAUUAUCAGGAGAUUCCAAGCUGAUGUCCAUCAUUACCCAGUUAAUAUUGAUUUUAAGCCAUUUUAAGUAGAAAACAGAUCCUUAAGAACUGUCAGUUGGUUUUCUUAAAAGAGCACUGAGUUUAAAGUCAGGUCUAGUUUUCUGAUUGUAAUUCGCUGUGUGACCUUAGGCCAGUCAAGUCUCCUCUCUGGGUUCAUCUGUAAAGUUAAAAUGAUAUACUGGAUUGUCUGCCUUUGGGUUCCUUAUCAACGACAAAGUUCCAUGAUUCUUCUAUGAUUCUUUAAUUCUGGCAUAGGCUGUUAGAGCUAAGAUGAAGAUUUCCUUAGAAAUGAGCACCACCCCCUAAAGGAAACUCUGGAAGAGGCCCUGACAAAUUGGGGCCUCAGCCCAUAACUUGGCUUCGGAGAGACUCAUGCUGGACUCUGUGCUGGCAACUCCCCUAAGACCACCUCGGAGGAGCAGGCAUCCUACAGCCAGGCCCAACAUAGAGCCUCCAGCAACUGGAGAAGAGAAGCAGAUGAACAAUGAAAAUUUAGUCUACUCCGGGCCCCACCUCCCGCCUUCUGUGACCAAGCAAGAUGCCUACGAAGAGCCAGCAGGCUGGGGUCCUGUACCCAUGCAGAAGCUGCUUUCUUUCUGUUUGAUUUUCGGUUUUUUGUGCCAAGCACCAAUGUGAGCCCAUUAACUGCUCUUACUCAGCAUGUGGUUGGUCAGGAAGAACUGAAGAUUCUCCAGUGCCUGUCAGCCAGAGUUUUUUCGCUGAGCAAGAGGCUUCGUGCUUGGGCAGGAGAGACUAAGAAGAUUGCUCAAUAGAACUGGAAGUCAAGGAAAGGACUAUGUGGGGAAAAGUCUAGGGUCUGCUUAAGUCUCAGUAGUCCUGACCCUGCCCUGGAGUUGACACCAGGCCAGGUGACUUGGCCACAUGGUAGUGCCACAGCAGAUGGGAG
This is a long non-coding RNA of Ailuropoda melanoleuca (giant panda), 3729 nucleotides long. RefSeq lists it as uncharacterized. The record is from RefSeq and is a predicted model, not a curated record. The transcript is spliced from 3 exons. Lineage: Eukaryota; Metazoa; Chordata; Mammalia; Carnivora; Ursidae.